Molecule: long non-coding RNA, 388 nt
Organism: Daphnia pulex (common water flea)
Lineage: Eukaryota; Metazoa; Arthropoda; Branchiopoda; Diplostraca; Daphniidae
Exons: 3
Source: RefSeq, a predicted model, not a curated record
AUCUCUCAUUCCAUCUUAUAGAGAAUCUUGGAUAACUGAUUUGUGGUUUCAUGUGUUUCUAAAUUGGCAUGACUGACUAUAUGAGAAGUUAUGUCCUUCCAAGAAAAGGACUUACAGUCAACAAGAUUCCUUGUUUGCUAACCCGUUGGCUGCUACCCAUGAAUCUCCCUAUUUUUCAACAACAAAAAAGAGGUUAAAUAUUGUGAUCAUGCUAUCAUCAUUAUGUUGCCUAUAAGACCAAAUGUGGGGCAUCUGGUUAUCCCUCCAAAAUAAGGCAAUGACCACACGUUCAACGCGGAUCAUUCGCUUUGUCAUCGAACUUGACUCAUUCCAUCUUCUGGAUUGCUUAGGAAAGCUGAUUGGUGUUACCUGUGUAACUUCAUUGUCA